This 253-nucleotide ribosomal RNA is filed under the name uncultured bacterium. RNAcentral describes it as "partial 16S ribosomal RNA". It matches the Rfam family "Bacterial small subunit ribosomal RNA", at positions 524 to 776 of the family's 1533-position model. The record is from RNAcentral.
UACGUAGGUGGCAAGCGUUGUCCGGAUUUACUGGGUGUAAAGGGCGUGCAGCCGGAGAGACAAGUCAGAUGUGAAAUCCGCGGGCUCAACUCGUGAACUGCAUUUGAAACUGUUUCCCUUGAGUGUCGGAGAGGUAAUCGGAAUUCCUUGUGUAGCGGUGAAAUGCGUAGAUAUAAGGAAGAACACCAGUGGCGAAGGCGGAUUACUGGACGAUAACUGACGGUGAGGCGCGAAAGCGUGGGGAGCAAACAGG